UACGUAGGUGGCAAGCGUUGUCCGGAUUUACUGGGCGUAAAGGGCGCGUAGGCGGCUCGGCACGUCCGUUGUGAAAUCGCCCGGCUCAACUGGGCGGGGUCAGCGGAUACGGUCGAGCUUGAGCAAGCUAGGGGGCAAUGGAAUUCCCGGUGUAGUGGUGGAAUGCGUAGAUAUCGGGAGGAACACCAGUGGCGAAGGCGGUUGCCUGGAGCUUUGCUGACGCUGAGGCGCGAAAGCGUGGGGAGCGAUCCGG
This 253-nucleotide ribosomal RNA is filed under the name uncultured bacterium. Its description in RNAcentral is "partial 16S ribosomal RNA". It matches the Rfam family "Bacterial small subunit ribosomal RNA", at positions 524 to 776 of the family's 1533-position model. The record is from RNAcentral.